AGGGAUUGCCUCAGUAACGGCGAGUGAAGCGGCAACAGCUCAAAUUUGAAAGCUGGCUCUUGCAGAGCCCGCGUUGUAAUUUGUAGAGGAUGCUUCGGGUGCGGCGCUGGUCUAAGUUCUUUGGAACAAGACGUCAUAGAGGGUGAGAAUCCCGUAUGUGACUAGCUGCCUGUGCCUGUGUGAAGCUCCUUCGACGAGUCGAGUUGUUUGGGAAUGCAGCUCAAAAUGGGUGGUGUACUUCAUCUAAAGCUAAAUAUUGGCCAGAGACCGAUAGCGCACAAGUAGAGUGAUCGAAAGAUGAAAAGCACUUUGGAAAGAGAGUUAAACAGUACGUGAAAUUGUUGAAAGGGAAGCGCUUGCAAUCAGACUUGCGCGGCGUCGAUCAACCUGGGUUCUCCCUGGUGCACUCGGCGCUGCUCAGGCCAGCAUCAGUUUCAGCGGUUGGAUAAAGGCCUAGGGAACGUGGGUUACUUCGGUGACUGUUAUAGCCCUAGGUGCAAUGCAGCCUGCUGGGACUGAGGACCGCGCUUCGGCUAGGAUGCUGGCGUAAUGGUUGUAAGCGACCCGUCUUGAAACACGGACCAAGGAGUGUAAUAUUUAUGCGAGUUUUUGGGUGUUAAACCCAUAAGCGUAAUGAAAGUGAACGGAGGUGAGAACCCUUAAGGGUGCAUCAUCGACCGAUCCUGAUGUCUUCGGAUGGAUUUGAGUAAGAGCAUAACUAUUGCGACCCGAAAGAUGAUGAUCUAUACUUGAAUAGGGUGAAGCCAGAGGAAACUCUGGUGGAGGCUCGCAGCGGUUCUGACGUGCAAAUCGAUCGUCAAAUUUGGGUAUAGGGGCGAAAGACUAAUCGAA
RNAcentral lists this ribosomal RNA (852 nucleotides) under Spathulariopsis velutipes. Its description in RNAcentral is "eukaryotic LSU rRNA". It matches the Rfam family "Eukaryotic large subunit ribosomal RNA", at positions 70 to 939 of the family's 3401-position model. The record is from RNAcentral. Lineage: Eukaryota; Fungi; Ascomycota; Leotiomycetes; Rhytismatales; Cudoniaceae.